AUCUAUCGUUCAUAUGCAUAGAUGCACAACAGAUUGAAAGAAGUUAACGAAUAGCUGUCGAGUGGGGAGUGCUGACAGCGGUAUGGUCUGGGGCAGAUCAGGUUCUUCGUAAGAGUAGCAGUACUGCCCCUUCUCAAGCCUUUUUAGGUAAUUAAAUUCUGUCUUCGUAAAUUUCAGUGUCAGUUGGCUGUGGCAUUCUUGCUGCUUGUCCUGAGCAGCUUAGCGUCAGUUCGUGCAGCUUCACACUGACACUUGCUGAUGUCCGUUCUUACUGACCCUUACAGUAUAGAAAAUGCUUUGGGAUAUUCAGAAAUGAAAGACAAUAAGAGCUAAUGCGUGUGUACAUUUGUCUGCAGACAAUGCUGUCUGUAUGUAUACAGUCAUGGAUCACUGCAGCAGCACAAGUCAAUUAGCGUCUGUGAGACUCCAUCAUCCUUGGAAAUAAUUCUAUGAAUGCUCUAGGGAAUGCUAUCAAAAGGACAGUGCUGAGAACUACAGGCCUCAGAGGUGGUUUUCACUGAAGAAUGUGUAUGUGACGUUGCAUGUUACCAAGAGGUGAAAUUAACGUAGAAACGAAAUAUUAACCAAAGAAGACCAAAGGGAAGGGAGGACAACAGAGGAAGAAAGAAGAAAAAAAAAAUAAAAUAAUGGAGGAAAAAAGCCAAAGGUAAAAUAGUUUUGUUACUAUUUGAUGUGUCUUAAAACUUGUUGGGGGGGGGAGGGAAGUGGGCUUAAACUAAACUUAUGCUAAAUCCAAAAAAAUGAAAGAGUAUUUUUUUUGCUAACUAGACACUGACUAAUAGAAAAGUUAAGGCUUUUCUUGUAGGUAGCUACAUAGUGGCCACAAGGCACUGGCCAGCCCCAUGCCUGUGGUGACCAAUUUCCCCCAGCAACUAUCAGACAUCAGGUGUUAGGCUGGUUCUGAACUGGGGAGCCUGAUUAGUGAAUUAAUUCACCUAGUGGCUGUUUAUACCACACUCCUCCCAGCCUGUGGCUGAAGACUUUCAGGCUGCCUCUGAGGGCCAGGCUCCAUGCUGUGGUACCUGCUGUGGGCUGCCACAGCUGAGCCUCCCCCCUGACCAGGUCUCUCUGCAGGCCACCUGCUCCUCUCCUCCUACUGCAGGCUCAGGCAGUUCCAGCUCCAGUGGGAAAGAGUUCAGCUGACAGCAACAAAAAAUACCUAGAGGUUUCAAAACAAG
This 1199-nucleotide long non-coding RNA is filed under the name Gallus gallus (chicken). Its description in RNAcentral is "lncRNA (ENSGALG00010008804.1)". The record is from RNAcentral. Lineage: Eukaryota; Metazoa; Chordata; Aves; Galliformes; Phasianidae.